Molecule: long non-coding RNA, 366 nt
Organism: Acipenser ruthenus (sterlet)
Lineage: Eukaryota; Metazoa; Chordata; Actinopteri; Acipenseriformes; Acipenseridae
Exons: 3
Source: RefSeq, a predicted model, not a curated record
GUUUGACAACAACCUCCUGACUUAUGAGAAUGAAGUGUUGUUCACAUCUUACCGGUUGAGAGUUGCCUGUCACUACCUGGUCAAUGACACCAAGGUAGUACAGUUCUUGUACCAGAAUAAUCCUGCACCUGUAGCCCAGCCUGGCUUGGGGGACCUUGCAGUCAUCAUGCGGCUUGCAUUGGAUUCAACCUACAAUGACUUCUAUGGAGCUCAGGAUUACCCUGUUGUGAAGUACUUGCGAAGACCCUUGUAUUUUGAGGUAGAGCUCCUGUACAGCAGGGAUCCACAGGCUGAAUUGUUUUUGGAGAACUGCUGGGCAACCUAUUCUGUUGACAGGAAUAGCUCUCCAAAGUGGGAUGUCGUUGU